UACACGGUACAACACAACUAACUUUAAUUUGGUCAGGAUGGGAACAUAGCAGCCAUAUAAGCAAAUUGUGUGUGUACCACUUUAUU
Molecule: signal recognition particle RNA, 86 nt
Filed under: Erysipelotrichaceae bacterium
Lineage: Bacteria; Bacillati; Bacillota; Erysipelotrichia; Erysipelotrichales; Erysipelotrichaceae
Description: signal recognition particle sRNA small type
Rfam family: Bacterial small signal recognition particle RNA
About the family: The signal recognition particle (SRP) is a universally conserved ribonucleoprotein involved in the co-translational targeting of proteins to membranes.
Source: RNAcentral